This 68-nucleotide transfer RNA is filed under the name Anadara kagoshimensis. Its description in RNAcentral is "tRNA-Trp". The record is from RNAcentral. Lineage: Eukaryota; Metazoa; Mollusca; Bivalvia; Arcoida; Arcidae.
GGGACCUUAAGUUAGAUAGACUGUUAGCCUUCAAAGUUGAAAGAGCAAAUGAAUUUUUGCAGGUUUCG